GAAUGUAGAGACCACCGGUUCGGUAGGCCGACUGUUUUUAAAAUGAAACGGCUGCGGUUUUUGAGUCUCUUCGGCUGGGAGGCUUGGCUUCCCGCCCACUCCUCCCCUCCCAAAUAUAACGACCUUC
This is a non-coding RNA of Caenorhabditis elegans, 127 nucleotides long. The record is from Ensembl. NCBI's taxonomy places the organism in Eukaryota, Metazoa, Nematoda, Chromadorea, Rhabditida, Rhabditidae.